RNAcentral lists this transfer RNA (72 nucleotides) under Camelus bactrianus (Bactrian camel). It matches the Rfam family "tRNA". From Rfam's summary of the family: Transfer RNA (tRNA) molecules are approximately 80 nucleotides in length. Lineage: Eukaryota; Metazoa; Chordata; Mammalia; Artiodactyla; Camelidae. The record is from Rfam by way of RNAcentral. RNAcentral also lists the same sequence under 2 other names.
GAGGGUAUAGUUCAGUGGUCGAGUGUGUGCUUAGCACCCAUGAAGUCCUAGGUUCAAUCCCCAGUACCUCCA